AGCGAACGCUGGCGGCAGGCCUAACACAUGCAAGUCGAACGGACCUUUCGGGGUUAGUGGCGGACGGGUGAGUAACACGUGGGAACGUGCCUUUAGGUUCGGAAUAAGCUCGGGAAACUGGGUCUAAUACCGAAUGUGCCCUUCGGGGGAAAGAUUUAUCGCCUUUAGAGCGGCCCGCGUCUGAUUAGCUAGUUGGUGGUGUAAUGGACCACCAAGGCGACGAUCAGUAGCUGGUCUGAGAGGAUGACCAGCCACAUUGGGACUGAGACACGGCCCAAACUCCUACGGGAGGCAGCAGUGGGGAAUCUUGCGCAAUGGGCGAAAGCCUGACGCAGCCAUGCCGCGUGUAUGAUGAAGGUCUUAGGAUUGUAAAAUACUUUCACCGGUGAAGAUAAUGACUGUAGCCGGAGAAGAAGCCCCGGCUAACUUCGUG
This 433-nucleotide ribosomal RNA is filed under the name uncultured bacterium. Its description in RNAcentral is "bacterial SSU rRNA". It matches the Rfam family "Bacterial small subunit ribosomal RNA", at positions 29 to 507 of the family's 1533-position model. The record is from RNAcentral.